Molecule: RNA transcript, 1879 nt
Organism: Rhododendron vialii
Lineage: Eukaryota; Viridiplantae; Streptophyta; Magnoliopsida; Ericales; Ericaceae
Exons: 5
Source: RefSeq, a predicted model, not a curated record
UCGAACCUUGCGAAAAUCCUACUAGUUUAGUUAGUUACGACUUGAAAAACCCUUCACAUCCAGCAGUUAAAAAUCUCAACUUUAACUUGCCAGAGAUUCAGAACCAACAGCCCUACGUCUCUCUCCUCUCGUUGCGUAAUUUCUAAGCUUUUCCAAGUCCAGCUUCACUUUUUCUGUACCCGAUUUCUCGAGCCGAAUUGAUUAAUGGUAUUGUGAUUUUGCGACGAAGAUGAGGUUCUCGCUCGGCCGAUUUCUAGGAUCGGGAAUCGGAUUUUCUUUUCCGGAUUUGAUUUCCACAGGCUAAAGGUGGAUUUCACGGAUCCAAAUAUUUCCCAACGAUUUAUUUUUUCUUUUCCCGUCGAAUGGAUAGGAAUGGACCUCUCUGUGUUAUCUUCCUGUUCUUGAUUGCUUCCCACUGCUCCAGUGCUUACUCUCCCUGGAAUCUCCGAAAAUUAACCGGUGCGGCGCCAACGGUUAGCUCUCCUGAAACAAAUGUUUCGCCUUUGCUUAGUCCUGUUUCGAGCAGCGGUGAUAAGGAAUCAAAAGCUAAUCCAAUUGAUGGUGGUAAGUCUAAGGAAAAAGAGCACAAGGAUUCCGAGUCAUCGAAUGGUUUGACGAAAGUAAAUCCAAAGGGAUCGAAGAGUGAUGAUUCAGAAAAUUCGUCGACUAAGGAGGUAGAGGGUGAGAAGAGUCGUGAAGAGAAAAAUGAAGGAAAAUUUGUUCCACAUUUGGCUGGUAAGGAGACUUGCGACGGAUCCACCAAUCAGUGCAGUAUCCUGGAAACUUUGACUGGUUGCAUUCAACGUUUUGAGACUGGGUCCAAAGAUUUGGUUCUUCUGAUCCAAAAUGAAGGAGAGAGCGCCGUGAAAGGGAAUAUUACUAUCUCAACGUCAUUGGGGAAGGUUAUGAAUUAUGAGAUCCCCAAGCACCAAACUGAAGGGAUCAGUGUCUCUCAGACUAUUGGUGGAAACACCCGCACCAAAAUCAUAUUGAAGUCUGGAAAUGGGGAAUGCACGCUUCAGAUGGGUCCUCAUCAAUCUAAAGGAGACUUUUUACAGCGGCUCCCUUCGUAUUAUAAGCAAUUGACCCCCAUCUAUGGUGCAUACCUUUUAUUUCUAAUAGCACUAAUUGUUGGGGGAACUUGGGCUUGCUGCAAGAUUAGGAAGAGGAAAAGGCACGACGGAGUUCCAUAUCAGGAACUUGAAAUGGGGGUGCCAGAAUCUGCUUCCGCUGUUAAUUUGGAGGCUGCAGAAGGUUGGGAUGACGGAUGGGAUGAUGACUGGGACGAGGACAAGGCAGUGAGGUCGCCAGGGGGACGUCACGUUGGCAGCAUCUCGUCAAGUGGCCUUACUGCGAGAUCUGCUAACAAAGAUGGGUGGGGAAACGAUUGGGACGAUUAGAGUUGUAGCGUUGUGAAAAGGAAACAACCAGGAUUAUCGGAGGACAUGACGCCAAGAAGCCAAGAUACAGAGAUAUAGGAGUAAUUCAAAAUUUGAGUGUAAAUUUAGUGCAAAUGCAUUUUAGGACACCACAAAAUGAAAAGGUGGACAAAGAAAAAAGGACGGAGGGAGUAUCUAAUUCCUAGUUUCUCAGCAUCUAUAAAAUUAUGUCCUUUAUGAUUCAGUAACUACAGAAACUGUAAUCUUACAAGCAUAUCCUCUCUGUACUGGUAUCCUCCUUUAGCUUUUUUCUCAUCUACUUAUUUGUAUCCUAUCAGUAUCGGAACUUCAUAGAAUAGACCUAACAAGUACAACUUCAGAAAGUGCAUCCUGUGUAAAAUUCUCUCAGAAGGAAAAUCUGCAUGUCUGAAGGGCGCAACUGCCAACACUUGAGUUGAUAAUGGCCAUAGCAAAAUAAUGGGCCGAAGAAAACAUUUAAG